This is a long non-coding RNA of Prionailurus viverrinus (fishing cat), 547 nucleotides long. RefSeq lists it as uncharacterized. NCBI's taxonomy places the organism in Eukaryota, Metazoa, Chordata, Mammalia, Carnivora, Felidae. The transcript has 3 exons. The record is from RefSeq and is a predicted model, not a curated record.
AGAACAGUGAGUGCAAAGGCCCCGAGAUGCUUAGAGAAAGGCAAAGAGUGUGGAUGGAAGUUUGCAAGAAGAAAAAAUGCAUCUGGCCCAUAUAAGUAACACUCCUAAUUAAACCACUUGGCAACAAAUUCACCAACUGCUUGUUAAGCUGAUGGGGACACAUGAUCAAUAAGAAUGCUGGCAUGUUGUUCCAGACAACCACAUUGGCACAUGAUGGCUGCAUCUUCAAACAUUCAAGGAAGAAAGAAGAGAUCACCUUACCUUGAGCAAAAUCCUUCCCAAAAGUGUACCUAGCAGAUUUCCCCUCCUGUCUCAUUGACCAGAACUCACUAGAACUGGGUCACUCCAAACAUUAACAAAGAAGAAUGGAAUUACACUCCUGGUUUAUAUCAACUGUGGUUAGUGCUGUGGUCUGGAGGGAGAGUCUACCUUCUUUGAAUUGAGUAUGCUGCUGCUAGAAAAAACUCAAGGUCCUUUAAAUUGAUAUAUAAAGUAUAAAAAAUGGGGAAAUUAUAAUAGAUAGGCAACCAAUCAUAUCUUCCUUGGU